RNAcentral lists this ribosomal RNA (429 nucleotides) under Gemmatimonadota bacterium. RNAcentral describes it as "Gemmatimonadetes bacterium partial 16S ribosomal RNA". It matches the Rfam family "Bacterial small subunit ribosomal RNA", at positions 355 to 776 of the family's 1533-position model. Lineage: Bacteria; Pseudomonadati; Gemmatimonadota. The record is from RNAcentral.
UAGGGAAUCUUCGGCAAUGGACGAAAGUCUGACCGAGCAACGCCGCGUGAGUGAAGAAGGUUUUCGGAUCGUAAAACUCUGUUGUUAGAGAAGAACAAGGACGUUAGUAACUGAACGUCCCCUGACGGUAUCUAACCAGAAAGCCACGGCUAACUACGUGCCAGCAGCCGCGGUAAUACGUAGGUGGCAAGCGUUGUCCGGAUUUAUUGGGCGUAAAGCGAGCGCAGGCGGUUUCUUAAGUCUGAUGUGAAAGCCCGCGGCUCAACCGGGGAGGGUCAUUUGAAACUGGGAGACUUGAGGGCAGAAGAGGAGAGUGUAAUUCCAUGUGUAGCGGUGAAAUGCGUAGAAAUAUGGAGGAACACCAGUGGCGAAGGUGGCUGUCUGGUCUGUAACUGACGCUGAGGAUCGAAAGCGUGGGGAGCAAACAGG